CCUACGGGAGGCUGCAGUGGGGAAUAUUGGACAAUGGGGGGAACCCUGAUCCAGCCAUGCCGCGUGUGUGAAGAAGGCCCUCGGGUUGUAAAGCACUUUCAGUGAGGAAGAACGCCUGGUGGUUAAUACCCAUCAGGAAAGACAUCACUCACAGAAGAAGCACCGGCUAACUCCGUGCCAGCAGCCGCGGUAAUACGGAGGGUGCGAGCGUUAAUCGGAAUUACUGGGCGUAAAGCGCGCGUAGGUGGCUUGAUAAGCCGGUUGUGAAAGCCCCGGGCUCAACCUGGGAACGGCAUCCGGAACUGUCAAGCUAGAGUGUAGGAGAGGAAGGUAGAAUUCCCGGUGUAGCGGUGAAAUGCGUAGAGAUCGGGAGGAAUACCAGUGGCGAAGGCGGCCUUCUGGACUGACACUGACACUGAGGUGCGAAAGCGUGGGUAGCAAACAGGAUUAGAUACCCUAGUAGUC
This 465-nucleotide ribosomal RNA is filed under the name Vreelandella stevensii. RNAcentral's name for it is "partial 16S ribosomal RNA". It matches the Rfam family "Bacterial small subunit ribosomal RNA", at positions 338 to 795 of the family's 1533-position model. The record is from RNAcentral. Lineage: Bacteria; Pseudomonadati; Pseudomonadota; Gammaproteobacteria; Oceanospirillales; Halomonadaceae.